GGGGCCGUAGGGUAGCCUGGUUGAUCCUCGUGGCUUCGGGAGUCACGGACCUGAGUUCAAAUCUCAGCGGCCCCA
RNAcentral lists this transfer RNA (75 nucleotides) under Candidatus Hydrothermarchaeota archaeon. RNAcentral's name for it is "tRNA-Pro". It matches the Rfam family "tRNA". From Rfam's summary of the family: Transfer RNA (tRNA) molecules are approximately 80 nucleotides in length. Their secondary structure includes four short double-helical elements and three loops (D, anti-codon, and T loops). Further hydrogen bonds mediate the characteristic L-shaped molecular structure. tRNAs have two regions of fundamental functional importance: the anti-codon, which is responsible for specific mRNA codon recognition, and the 3' end, to which the tRNAs corresponding amino acid is attached (by aminoacyl-tRNA synthetases). tRNAs cope with the degeneracy of the genetic code in two manners: having more than one tRNA (with a specific anti-codon) for a particular amino acid; and 'wobble' base-pairing, i.e. permitting non-standard base-pairing at the 3rd anti-codon position. Lineage: Archaea; Methanobacteriati; Candidatus Hydrothermarchaeota. The record is from RNAcentral.